RNAcentral lists this long non-coding RNA (347 nucleotides) under Salvia miltiorrhiza (redroot sage). RNAcentral's name for it is "long non-coding RNA (SMIL_LNC012588)". The record is from RNAcentral. Lineage: Eukaryota; Viridiplantae; Streptophyta; Magnoliopsida; Lamiales; Lamiaceae.
UUCAAUCAAUGUAGAUGCUCUAAGGCUCGUAGACAGAUAUUUUUUAAGAGCGACAAUGAUUCUUACUUGCUAACUCUUUUAUUUUUUUUGGAAGGCCAAAGAUAAGGGUGCUAAUUUAGAUUGAAGUGUACAAUAUCAAGAAGUCCGAGAAAUUAGGAUGGGAAGUAGCGUUGAAUGAUCUUAUCCUUGGAAUCCAUUCUUCUUUGUACCAUAAUACAAAUUAUAAAAUAUACUAAUACGCUUCUUAGUUCAUGGAUAUAAUGUCCCCAAGGGGACACCAAGCGGUGCGAACUUUUAUACGAACAAUGAGGUGCAGGGAUCAAACUCCACCAUUUACCCCCCCCCCC